GACGAACGCUGGCGGCGUGCCUAAUACAUGCAAGUUGAGCGCUGAAGGUUGGUACUUGUACCGACUGGAUGAGCAGCGAACGGGUGAGUAACGCGUGGGGAAUCUGCCUUUGAGCGGGGGACAACAUUUGGAAACGAAUGCUAAUACCGCAUAAAAACUUUAAACACAAGUUUUAAGUUUGAAAGAUGCAAUUGCAUCACUCAAAGAUGAUCCCGCGUUGUAUUAGCUAGUUGGUGAGGUAAAGGCUCACCAAGGCGAUGAUACAUAGCCGACCUGAGAGGGUGAUCGGCCACAGUGGGACUGAGACACGGCCCAAACUCCUACGGGAGGCAGCAGUAGGGAAUCUUCGGCAAUGGACGAAAGGCUGACCGAGCAACGCCGCGUGAGGGAAGAAGGUUGUCGGAUCGUAAAACUCGGUUGGUAGAGAAGAACGUUGGUGAGAGUGGAAAGCUCAUCAAGUGACGGUAACUACCCAGAAAGGGACGGCUAACUACGUG
RNAcentral lists this ribosomal RNA (497 nucleotides) under uncultured bacterium. RNAcentral describes it as "partial 16S ribosomal RNA". It matches the Rfam family "Bacterial small subunit ribosomal RNA", at positions 28 to 507 of the family's 1533-position model. The record is from RNAcentral.